Molecule: long non-coding RNA, 919 nt
Filed under: Homo sapiens (human)
Lineage: Eukaryota; Metazoa; Chordata; Mammalia; Primates; Hominidae
Description: non-protein coding lnc-ZNF681-2:4
Source: RNAcentral
ACCGGACUAGAGUGGAUCCCCAUAAAAUGAGUGAAGCCAUAAUAUGAGUUAGAGACUACUGAAAAAGCCCCUCCUGAUGAUGAAGGACCUGUCAUUGGAGAAUCGACCAAAACUGACAGUGAUAACUUGGAAGGCACCUGACAUUACCUGGGGACAGCUAAAGAAACUGGACCAACAGGGAACUAUCUGGCUUGCAUCUAUGGGAGCCCCUGAAACUGCAGAGAACCAGUUUCUUAUGUAUCUGAUGGUAAUUGGGGGAGCUUCUGAGAAGGCAUCUGCAAAUGGCUCUGUGCUGCCACUCAACCAACUAUGACCAGGGAAGAAUGAUAGAAGCUUACUUUGCAUUGGAUAAUCCGCAUGUUCUAAGAAUUAAAGAAGGGGGAAAUGUGAGGGGUGUAUGACAAUACAUUCAAGCUUAUGUACAAGGCAUUUGAGGUUGAGGCAUGGAAAAAUACUGAGGCACUGUGUGUAUGUUGUUUGUGCAUGAAACUGUAAUUCCUUGACCCUGAAAAUAGGACAAGGAAUAGAAUUUGUAAUAAGGAGUGCUGAACACAGCCUCCUAAGAAUGUGGUUUGAGUGCUUUUAGAUGUUAUAAACAAGGCCAUAUGUGCCUCAUGACCCGACCCCAAAUAGCCACCUUGUAGAUGUUUCUUGUUUGUCUAAAUUGUAGUUCAACUAGCCUUCUCAAUAAAUACUUGGCAGAUGAAUCUUAAAGCAGCACUGUCUUGGAGGAGCUGCUCCCCUCCCUUUCAGCUGUAAUUGUCUGAAUACUUAUUUCUUGGUGUUCACUGCAGAGCAAGCUGCAGCACAGCUGCCGGCAUUUAUUCAUGCAAGAUUCCAGCUUGCUUAUCUAUGUCUGCAGCUCAAUUUUACAGGCUGCUCUUUGUUAAAACAAAAAAAACAAAACAAAACAAACAAA